GGCGCAGGCGGACAGGUCAGUGGAAAGUGGAAUCCCGGGGCUCAACCCCGGAAAGCCUUUCCAUACUGCCUGUCUUGAGUACGUGAGAGGAGAGCGGAAUUCAGGGUGUAGCGGUGAAAUGCUUAGAUAUCCUGAGGAACACCGAUGGCGAAAGCAGCUCUCUGGCACGCUACUGACGCUGAGGCCCGAAAGCGUGGGAGCGAACG
This 206-nucleotide ribosomal RNA is filed under the name uncultured bacterium. Its description in RNAcentral is "partial 16S ribosomal RNA". It matches the Rfam family "Bacterial small subunit ribosomal RNA", at positions 568 to 774 of the family's 1533-position model. The record is from RNAcentral.